CAAAAAAAAUAAUAAUAAUAAUAAUGAACCAGAACAAAACUACCUAUCUUCUAAAGUAACUGUAUUUUAUUGGCGAUUUUGUCGGAGAGACAGUAGGUGUGCAGUUAAAGUAUCAUAGUCGGGAAGUUUUGGGUGCACAUGACUGGCCUUAUUAAAGGAAUUCCCCCUGGAAGGAGUAUCAGCCUUUGAACUGGAUGUCUUCUUGCUUUCACCGCCACCUGAUGAUACUGUUCUUGGAGGAGGAUUAGAUGUUUGCUCCUUGGCUGAUGACUUCAGAUUUUCCUCUCGUGUGGACCUCUUUGACUCUUGAAUCAGCUUAGAUGAUUCUGCUGAUUUACGCUGCUCAAAACUUCCCUGGUUAUCUGAAUUUUUGGACUGAGGAUUAUGUUGAGUAUCAGUAGUGUAGGAACUUCUAGAGGAUGAUUCCUUCAUUAAGGACCUCUUCGAUUGUAAAAUUGGCUUAGAUAUAGCUUGUUCUGUUGAUCUACCCUGCUCAGAACUACCCCAAUAAUCAGAACUCUUUUCCAGGGAAGUAGGCAUCACUUGAGCUUCUAUAGUGUAGGAACUUGAUGAGGAUGAAUUGUGUUCCAUUUCCAUAGCAUAUUCUGGAGUAAUUGAAGAGUCAGAAGGUAACCUGGACUUCAAAUAAGGAUUUCUCUCAGAAAUUGAAAGAGUGUUGCUGGUUACAGUCUGUUUUGUCCGUCUAGACAAUCCAGGACCUGGACGAGUUUUGGUUACUGUCUGAUUAGGAAGUUCCUCCUCAGAAUCACUAUUAUCUAAGUCAAAAUAGCUCCUUAAGCCUGAUUUUUUAUUCACUUCGGGUGCUGCUUUAUGAAUGUAUGGCUCUUGAGUCUGUUUUGCAAGUUCCUCAUCUGACUCAUCAUCAAUAGCAUCAGAAUAUGGAACUGAGGUUCCUAAGCUUCCUUUUUUAUUUAUUUUUGGGUGCACCAUCUGAUUGUAUGAAUCUUGGACUCCAGAACCAAUAUCAACCUUGAGGGAAGAAGACUUCUGCUUAAACCUGGUAGAAUUAUCCUCCUCUGCUUGUUUGGACACUGAAGAACUAUCUGAUGGAUUACUACGGUAUGGUGGAUGCCUAUAACCCUUAUUUCGAAGGCCACCUGUCAAGAUUCCAAAAUUCAACUCUUUACCACUUUCUAAACUCGAUUCUUUAAUAGAUAUGGUAUCCUCCAAGUUAUACACUGAUUGGUAACUUUGAAUAUCAUCCAUGACUGAUGAAAACCCUGAAGUUUUUGGAUUGUCAUCAUCAUUGGAUUUUGAUUGAGAUUUUGUGAACCUGCGAGAAGUUGGAUUGGUAUGCAAGUAACCAUAACUGAACGUCCUAUCAGUUUCAGCACCAACUUCAUUUCCCUGAUUUUUUCUGUUGGAUCCCACAUUUUCCUUUUCUGCUAGUGAAGAUCCUAUAAAGUGAUGUCUCUCAUUCUGGGUUGUCUCAGGGUUACCGGAGCAAGCAAUAUCUUUAUGAGGAAAAGAGCCAGUAUGUGUACUCUCAACAAGCUUAGACUUGUUGAGCUCCCCUUCACUUUCUGAGCUUGGGCCAUCUGACUCAUCAAAAGUCACAGGUAACGAUUCAUCAACUUGUGAAGAAACUGUAUCACUUGUCAAGCCUUCAGAAAAUACACUUGUGGUGUGCCAGCCAGAGGCAAAAGGAGAUUGUGAACUGGACUUUCCUAGUGACUCUUCCAUGUUUAGCCUGGGGCUGUCCGCACUUGUAUUUGCUAAAAGAUGAGAAGAUGAUUUUCUACCUUCUGACAGAUAAUAUGAACCAGAAUCUUGGCCAUUAUAUUCACCCUUGUCAUCAAGCUUAAGUCCAUCAUCAUCUGAACCAGAAUCAUCAAAAACCACAGAACCAUUGUCCAAUGGGUUUGUUUCUUUGCUAUUUCUUUGGAAGUUUCCUUCAUCAAAAAUAGAAGGCUCCCUUACAGCUUCCUCACUAAAUUUCUGGUCACUAAAACUGGAUAAGUGAUCAUCAUUAGGAAUUUGAGUGUGUGAGGAAACACUGCUAGACUGUCUUCUGAUGCUUGCUUCUCCAAAAUAACCAAAAUUUUCAGAUCUCAUUCCAUCAUGCAAUUCACUCACAAGUUCUACCUCAGAGUCACUAGAAUCUCCCUUUAUAUUUGCUUCACCCACUAGGUCACUCUUCUCUAAUUCAGAUAAGUUCUUUCUAUAAUGACUAUCUGCCAUUUGAAAAUCAUUCACCAGUGGGUAAUCAUUUACAGAACUACUGCUGGAUUUUGAGGAAGCGAGCUGACUAGGUCUAUUAGUGCUCUUGAGAUUGUUAAACCUUUCAGCUAAUCCCGCCAUGUCAUCUUGUUCAUUUUCAAAACUUUGUUCAUGAUUCAUGCCAGAAUUACUUCUAUGAGUCGUGUUAUUUACUGGAUCAUUGGCAAGAUGUUCACCUUGCACUCUGGAUGCAGCAUACGUUUGAAUCCCUUCGUCUCUUGAUCUGAAAACAGAGGCCUUCUUUGUUUCUGUUGAAUGUUGUCUGGUUAUCCUUUUAUGAGGGGUUUUAUUUACUGGAUCUUUGGCAAGAUGUUCACCUUGCACUCUGGAUGCAGCAUACGUUUGAAUCCCUUCGUCUCUUGAUCUGAAAACAGAGGCCUUCUUUGUUUCUGUUGAAUGUUGUCUGGUUAUCCUUUUAUGAGGGGUUUUAUUUACUGGAUCU
Molecule: unclassified non-coding RNA, 2683 nt
Filed under: Hevea brasiliensis (rubber tree)
Lineage: Eukaryota; Viridiplantae; Streptophyta; Magnoliopsida; Malpighiales; Euphorbiaceae
Source: RNAcentral